This 226-nucleotide long non-coding RNA is filed under the name Elaeis guineensis (African oil palm). RNAcentral describes it as "long non-coding RNA (EGUI_LNC007692)". Lineage: Eukaryota; Viridiplantae; Streptophyta; Magnoliopsida; Arecales; Arecaceae. The record is from RNAcentral.
GGGUGCAGGUUUCAUGGUUUUGGAGAUGUUCUUUGUACAUGUUGAAAUGUGCUGCAAGAACUCCUAAAUUACCAAGUAUAUCCAGAAAAAAACAACGUUAGUUUUCAAAUUGUUAUUUUUUGAACUGUAAUUAUGGAUAUUCUUUUAGUUCAUGUGGUUGAGAAUUGGUCCUGUAGUCCAAUAUUUUCACUGGACGUCUGUUAGAGGAUAUUUCUAUGAUGGCCCA